RNAcentral lists this ribosomal RNA (555 nucleotides) under Hoffmannoscypha pellita. RNAcentral's name for it is "eukaryotic LSU rRNA". The stretch from base 221 to 374 matches the Rfam family "5.8S ribosomal RNA". The record is from RNAcentral. Lineage: Eukaryota; Fungi; Ascomycota; Pezizomycetes; Pezizales; Pyronemataceae.
AUCAUUAAUGGUCGAGACGUGUUCCCGACACGGAUCUUGAACACCCCCACGUGUACCUUUCCGGUUGCCUCCCGCGCGCGCCCUCUCGGCCGGACGGGGGGGACGCCCACGUCCCCUCCGGCCGCGAGAAAAGGGUACGUACGGAGGUGGGCGGUAUGACCCCACACACACUCCUGCGUCUCUGUACCAUCAGUCUGAACCGUCAAAUACAAAAAGUUAAAACUUUCAACAACGGAUCUCUUGGUUCUCGCAUCGAUGAAGAACGCAGCGAAAUGCGAUAAGUAGUGUGAAUUGCAGAAUUCCGUGAAUCAUUGAAUCUUUGAACGCACAUUGCGCCUCCUGGCAUUCCGGGAGGCGUGCCUGUCCGAGCGUCAUUGCAAUCAACUCAAGCUCCNUUGCCAGCUUGGUCGUGGAAGAAGAGUCUGUCGGCAGUCUCCCCUCCGAAAUUCAAUGGGCGGAAGAUUGCCGGUGUGGGGCGUAGUAACAACGUUCGCUUCCCAUCCGGUGCGCUUCCCGCCGUCAAACCCCUCUCCCGUGACUCCAUCGAUUGACCUC